UACGAAGGGGGCUAGCGUUGCUCGGAAUUACUGGGCGUAAAGGGCGCGUAGGCGGCACUGUUAGUCAGGCGUGAAAUUCCUGGGCUCAACCUGGGGACUGCGCUUGAUACGGCAGAGCUAGAGGAUGGAAGAGGCUCGCGGAAUUCCCAGUGUAGAGGUGAAAUUCGUAGAUAUUGGGAAGAACACCGGUGGCGAAGGCGGCGAGCUGGUCCAUUACUGACGCUGAGGCGCGAAAGCGUGGGGAGCAAACAGG
Molecule: ribosomal RNA, 253 nt
Filed under: uncultured bacterium
Lineage: Bacteria
Description: partial 16S ribosomal RNA
Rfam family: Bacterial small subunit ribosomal RNA
Source: RNAcentral